RNAcentral lists this ribosomal RNA (548 nucleotides) under uncultured Glomus. RNAcentral describes it as "SSU rRNA". It matches the Rfam family "Eukaryotic small subunit ribosomal RNA", at positions 549 to 1098 of the family's 1831-position model. Lineage: Eukaryota; Fungi; Glomeromycota; Glomeromycetes; Glomerales; Glomeraceae. The record is from RNAcentral.
UGGAGGGCAAGUCUGGUGCCAGCAGCCGCGGUAAUUCCAGCUCCAAUAGCGUAUAUUAAAGUUGUUGCAGUUAAAAAGCUCGUAGUUGAAUUUCGGGGUCAGUAGGUUGGUCAUGCCACUGGUAUGUACUGGUCUCACUGAUUCCUCCUUCCUGAUGAGCCGUAAUGCCAUUAAUUUGGUGUUGCGAGGAAUCUGGACUGUUACUUUGAAAAAAUUAGAGUGUUUAAAGCAGGCUAACGCUUGAAUACAUUAGCAUGGAAUAAUGAAAUAGGACGUUCGAUCUUAUUUUGUUGGUUUCUAAGAUUGACGUAAUGAUUAAUAGGGAUAGUUGGGGGCAUUAGUAUUCAAUUGUCAGAGGUGAAAUUCUUGGAUUUAUUGAAGACUAACUACUGCGAAAGCAUUUGCCAAGGAUGUUUUCAUUAAUCAAGAACGAAAGUUAGGGGAUCGAAGACGAUCAGAUACCGUCGUAGUCUUAACCAUAAACUAUGCCGACUAGGGAUCGGAUGAUGUUAAUUUUUUAAUGACUCAUUCGGCGCCUUACGGGAAAC